RNAcentral lists this ribosomal RNA (258 nucleotides) under uncultured Smithella sp. RNAcentral's name for it is "partial 16S ribosomal RNA". It matches the Rfam family "Bacterial small subunit ribosomal RNA", at positions 1126 to 1382 of the family's 1533-position model. The record is from RNAcentral. Lineage: Bacteria; Pseudomonadati; Thermodesulfobacteriota; Syntrophia; Syntrophales; Smithellaceae.
UUCAGUUGGGCACUUUAAAGAGACUGACCGGUGUUAAACCGGAGGAAGGUGGGGAUGACGUCAAGUCCUCAUGGCCUUUAUGCUUAGGGCUACACACGUGCUACAAUGGGUGGUACAAAGAGAAGCCAACUCGCGAGAGCGCGCCAAUCUCAAAAAGCCAUCCUCAGUUCGGAUUGGAGUCUGCAACUCGACUCCAUGAAGUUGGAAUCGCUAGUAAUCGCGGAUCAGCAUGCCGCGGUGAAUACGUUCCCGGGCCUU